Molecule: ribosomal RNA, 498 nt
Filed under: uncultured bacterium
Lineage: Bacteria
Description: partial 16S ribosomal RNA
Rfam family: Bacterial small subunit ribosomal RNA
Source: RNAcentral
GAUGAACGCUGGCGGCGUGCCUAAUACAUGCAAGUCGAGCGAACGGACGAGAAGCUUGCUUCUCUGAUGUUAGCGGCGGACGGGUGAGUAACACGUGGAUAACCUACCUAUAAGACUGGGAUAACUUCGGGAAACCGGAGCUAAUACCGGAUAAUAUUUUGAACCGCAUGGUUCAAAAGUGAAAGACGGUCUUGCUGUCACUUAUAGAUGGAUCCGCGCUGCAUUAGCUAGUUGGUAAGGUAACGGCUUACCAAGGCAACGAUGCAUAGCCGACCUGAGAGGGUGAUCCGCCCACCUGGGACCGGGACCCCGUCCCGACUCCUUCCGGAGGCCGCAGUAGGGGAUCUUUCGCCAUGGGCCGAAGGCUUGCCGAGCCACGCCGCGUUGGUGAUGGAGGUCUUCGGAUCGUAAAACUCUGUUAUUAGGGAAGAAACCUAUGUGUAAGUUACUGUGCACCUCUUGACGGUACCUAAUCCGAAAGCCACGGCUAACUACGUG